CGUAAGCGCGCGUAGGCGGUUUUUUAAGUUCCUGAUGUGAAAGCCCACGGCUUCAACCGUGGAGGGUCAUUUGGAAACUGGAAAACUUGAGUGCAGAAGAGGAAAGUGGAAUUCCAUGUGUAGCGGUGAAAUGCGCAGAGAUAUGGAGGAACACCAGUGGCGAAGGCGACUUUCUGGUCUGUAACUGACGCUGAUGUGCGAAAGCGUGGGGAUCAAACAGGAUUAAAUACCCUGGUAGUCCACGCCGUAAACGAUGAGUGCUAAGUGUUAGGGGGUUUCCGCCCCUUAGUGCUGCAGCUAACGCAUUAAGCACUCCCCCCGGGGAGUACGACCGCAAGGUUGAAACUCAGAGGAAUUGACGGGGACCCGCACAAGCGGUGGAGCAUGUGGUUUAAUUCGAAGCAACGCGAAGAACCUUACCAAAUCUUGACAUCCNCUGACCCCUCUACACAUACAGUUUUGCCCUNCGGGGGACAGAAUGACAGGUGGUGCAU
Molecule: ribosomal RNA, 494 nt
Filed under: Staphylococcus sp.
Lineage: Bacteria; Bacillati; Bacillota; Bacilli; Caryophanales; Staphylococcaceae
Description: bacterial SSU rRNA
Rfam family: Bacterial small subunit ribosomal RNA
Source: RNAcentral